This is a long non-coding RNA of Oxyura jamaicensis (ruddy duck), 1239 nucleotides long. RefSeq lists it as uncharacterized. The transcript has 4 exons. Lineage: Eukaryota; Metazoa; Chordata; Aves; Anseriformes; Anatidae. The record is from RefSeq and is a predicted model, not a curated record.
GACCUUCUCUUCACAAACAGAGAAGGACUGCGAAUUAACCUGUAACUAUGGGAAUGGAGGCUGCCAACACACCUGUGAUGACACUGAUACUGGUCCUGUAUGUGGUUGUCAUCAGAAGUAUGCCUUACAUUCAGAUGGCCGAACCUGCAUUGAGAAGGAUGAGGCUGCAAUUGAGAGUUCUGAGUACAAUGCCACGUCAGUAGCUGAUGUGGACAAGCGGGUGAAACGGCGGCUACUUAUGGGUAACACUUUUCUUCCACUUCCUUUGUUGUGCUCUCACUAUUGUCUGUAUGUGCGUGUGGGGGGAGGUUCUCUUUUGGUCUCAUUUGGUCCUUUUGGUUUUGGUUUGUUUUUUUUGUUUGUUUGUUUUUUUAGCUGACUUUAUCUGCGUUGAAAGGUCACCAAUUUUGUUAAGUUCUCAUCUGUUGUACUACUUCAUUUCUCUUUUUUAAGCUUUUUUUUCCUAAUGCUGAAGCAUUAAUGUUCAAUUUCUUCUGCCUAGAAAGAAGCUUUUGCCAUUAACCUUACUUACCUUAUGCAAACUACUUCUUACAUGUGAAUUGUUUGUGUUUGUGUGUAUGUGUUGCUCUAAGAAUCCUAAAAAAUCUCAUGUUGCAGACUUGCCUUUUGACUUAAAAGUGGAUGAUGAUGAUAUAAAACAAUGUUCUAUUACUUAUGUGGUGUUAAAUGAACAACUGAAUUUGCCUACUUCUGAUAAAAAUGUAAAUAUUAUGGCUGGAAAUUGAUUUAUUUCCUUUGUGUAGCUAUGUUAGUAAUUGCUGAAAGAUUUUUCUCUAGUGACUGGUGAGCUUCCUUAUGUUCUUCUUUCAAGACUAAAGCAUGGCUUGUUUCUCUGUAUUGUUGGAGCCUGAGAGUGGAAGAGAUGAGGAAAUGCAUUGGACAAUGAAGAUAAUUCUUUAGUUUCUCACUUAACCCAUUGCUCACCUUUGUGCUGGUCUUCUUAUGUUACUUUUAUGGCCAUUAGUGAGAACGACCUUUUGAUAACUUGACAGGGUAGUGACUGGAUCUCUACCAGAUUAUUUUCAUGUGACAAAUGGCACAGGGUAGCAUAGACUGCUGAAUGAUGCCAGCGGUUUGGAGGCUUCUAAGUGGUUUAUUGCUCUUUAUUUUCCAUUCUGAUGCCCUACACACCACAUACAAUAUUUCUAUUAGUUUUUAAGCAUAGCGAGCAUUGAUGAGAUACACCCAAUGAACCAUUUACAAGAUAGGGGUUCUUCA